CAUCCUUUCAGUACCACCCGCCAAUGAAUGAGGUGGUUGUCCCAGCAGUCAAAUCCAAUUAGGGCCUAUGUUUGUAAAACACAAAAUUUAUUCUGCUGGGGCCCCGACAAAGGCCCUAAAAUUCAAUUUAAUGGACUAGGGAAGCAAGAUAAGGAGUCCCUGAGGUGGAACUAUCAGCCUUUUUCAUCUGGUUGCUAUGAGCUGCAGCCUGAUAUCAUGGAAAUAGCCUGGGAUUUUCCGUCAGAUGGAUUUGACUUUGAAUUGAUUCGUUGCUGUGUGAUCUUAGGUGAGUUGCUUAACUUCUCUGAAGCUCAGUUUUCUUAGCUAUACAAAGGGGGUUAGUAAAAAUACCUGACUUUCUGGAUAUGGAUAGAAAAUACAGGAAGAGCCUGACACAGAGUACAUACUCAUAAAUGGUAGUCCUAUUUAGAUUAGAGAAUAAAAAAUAUUAACAAGGAGAUGAUGUCAAAGCUUCCAGUUCACUCCCAAUUUGAAUCAGCCAGAUUGGUGAUGACAGAGUCAGGGUCUAAUCUGAGUGGUUGACACUGAAUAGCACUGAAUCUUCUAAGGCUCAUCCACAUACCUGCUGCCCAUCCAGCUGAGCAUGAGAACGCCAUCUUGGAGACUUGGACUUGGGCAGCUCUCUUUACCCAGGAUGAGUUUGUUUCUUCCUUUUUUGGGGAGUACCGGGGAUGUAUUUUAUUUACAGAGAGAGUCUCACUGAGUUGCUUAGUGCCUCACUGUUGCUGAGGCUGGCUUGGAACUCACCAAUCCUCCUGCCUCAGCCUCCCAAGCCACUGGGAUUACAGGCAUGUGCCACCACGCCAGCCCAUGAUGAGUUUCUUGUCUGAUACCAAGUGAACCUGUUCUCUCAGCCCUGUACACGCCAUCCUGCCCUCCCUGCUGGUGAUUCCCCUACCCAGGGGAGGAAAGAGAGUCCACCCACUCUCCUGGAAAGGGCUCUGGAAGAGAAGAGAAUUCCCACACAGAGCACAGUGGGCUCUUGGCUAAAAGGUUGCUAAGUACUCCUGCUGUGCAGUCUGUCCUGAGCAGAAGAAGGCAGGCUAGAGAGCUUCCGAUCCAUUCCAGAGGUGGACUCAUUGAUGGCCAACAGGAAGGCAAAGUUGGGGAAUUAUUAAUUUCUUUCCUCCUUCCUGGGAAAUAUAAGGUAUCAGUAACAAAAAGAAGAGGAGAAACUAAUGCUAACUGAACCCACCAUGAAUAAUGUGGCUUUUGUGUAUAUCUGCCCUGUGCCUAUUUCUGACCCAUUCUCCUUAAUUUAGAGACAGAACGUGCUCAACAGAUCUUGCCCAUCAGUGUUGGCCUAAUGGUAGAUAAAGAAAAGCCACAAGGCUAGCUAGUCCAACUCAGAUAGUACAGCAGUUCCCCCUUAUCCCUGGAGAAUAUGUUCCAAGAUCCCUAAGUGGAUGCUGGAAUCCUGGAUAGUACUAAGCUGUAUUUAUAGAUAUUGAUAUUCUAUAAUAAAAGUUAUGUGAAUGUGCACGGUCUCUCAAAACAUCUUACUGUACUCAUCUUUUUUCUUGUUGACUGCAGGCAACUGAAACCACAAGCAAGAUGGGGUGCCACUGUGACUCCAAAUAAGCAACGACACCUUUCCAGAUCUCCGUUUCCUUACCUGUAAAUAGAGGAUGUCAGACUGGAAGAACCAAAUCCUUUCAGCUCUAAUAAUCUGUGGUCUCUCAAUAUGAUUUACAUACUGAAGUCCUGGCAUAUGGAAUGAAAUUUAAAAGCCAAGAUGUGGUAUGUUGAGCUUUUCCACCUGAGCAAACACUACGCCCACAAAGUAGAAAUUCUCAUUGGGAAGGUAAACAAUGAGACCACCCUAGGAGUGGAAGAGGUGAGGCUGCAGAAGCCAUGGGGAGAGAGGCCUCUUUUCUCAGCAGCAAAUAACAUCCCGG
This 1919-nucleotide long non-coding RNA is filed under the name Marmota monax (woodchuck). The record is from RNAcentral. Lineage: Eukaryota; Metazoa; Chordata; Mammalia; Rodentia; Sciuridae.